RNAcentral lists this microRNA (22 nucleotides) under Eptatretus burgeri (inshore hagfish). RNAcentral describes it as "Ebu-Mir-124-P5-v2_3p (mature (guide))". The record is from RNAcentral. Lineage: Eukaryota; Metazoa; Chordata; Myxini; Myxiniformes; Myxinidae. RNAcentral also lists the same sequence under 44 other names.
UUAAGGCACGCGGUGAAUGCCA